RNAcentral lists this ribosomal RNA (631 nucleotides) under uncultured bacterium. RNAcentral describes it as "bacterial SSU rRNA". It matches the Rfam family "Bacterial small subunit ribosomal RNA", at positions 50 to 692 of the family's 1533-position model. The record is from RNAcentral.
AAUACAUUUUUGAAGCAAUUAGCUUGCUAAGAGUGGAAAUGUUGUAUUCUUAGUGGCGGACGGGUGAGUAACGCGUGGAUAACCUGCCUCACACUGGGGGAUAACAGCCAGAAAUGGCUGCUAAUACCGCAUAAGCGCACAGCAUCGCAUGAUGUGGUGUGAAAAGCGUCAGUGGUGUGAGAUGGAUCCGCGUCUGAUUAGCUAGUUGGUAGGGUAAGAGCCUACCAAGGCGACGAUCAGUAGCCGGCCUGAGAGGGUGAACGGCCACAUUGGGACUGAGACACGGCCCAAACUCCUACGGGAGGCAGCAGUGGGGGAUAUUGCACAAUGGGGGAAACCCUGAUGCAGCGACGCCGCGUGAGUGAAGAAGUAUUUCGGUAUGUAAAGCUCUAUCAGCAGGGAAGAAAAUGACGGUACCUGACUAAGAAGCCCCGGCUAACUACGUGCCAGCAGCCGCGGUAAUACGUAGGGGGCAAGCGUUAUCCGGAUUUACUGGGUGUAAAGGGAGCGUAGACGGCAAGACAAGCCAGAUGUGAAAGGCAGGGGCUCGACCCCUGGACUGCAUUUGGAACUGCCUGGCUAGAGUGUCGGAGAGGUAAGUGGAAUUCCUAGUGUAGCGGUGAAAUGCGUA